This 62-nucleotide transfer RNA is filed under the name Neoporus sp. MNCN AC47. RNAcentral describes it as "tRNA-Cys". Lineage: Eukaryota; Metazoa; Arthropoda; Insecta; Coleoptera; Dytiscidae. The record is from RNAcentral.
AAUGUUAUAGUUUAAAAAAAAUUUUAAAUUGCAAGUUUAAAGAUAGAAGGGUCUUAACAUUU